Molecule: ribosomal RNA, 119 nt
Filed under: Pteropus alecto (black flying fox)
Lineage: Eukaryota; Metazoa; Chordata; Mammalia; Chiroptera; Pteropodidae
Source: RNAcentral
GACUACGGCCAUGCCACCCUGAACGUGCCUGAUCUCAUCUGAUCUUGGAAGCUAAGCUGGGUUGGGCUUGGUUAGUACUUGGAUGGGACACCACCUAAGAAGACCAGGUACUGUAGGCA